UUAGUGUGAUUGUUGCAGCUAUAGCUAAAACAGUUUAACACAAUACAACAGUUAAAUCGUUAAGAUAAUACCUGCAGUUCUACCCGCAAUACUUUUGGGUAUAAACAAGGUUGUUUUUUUGUCAUUCUUUCCACUCAAAUGAUGUGGCAGUUGGUAUAUGGAUAAGUAAUGGCUCCUACAACAAUGGAAAAACAUGCAUCACACUCAUUCUCCAGAGAUCUUGUGUGGUUUCUGACUCCAAUAACAUUGAUGCAGUUCAAAGUGUCACCUGCCACUGACCCAACUUCUCAAACGUUGACUGUUAUAGAAAAUGUUUUUGCCCUGCUCUUUUUCCCUCUUCUUGAAUGUACUGUUAAAGGGACACUCCACUGCCCAAGUAACAUUUUCUUUAAAUCACUAUUUUGUAGAUAUACCAAUAUAAAAACAUGUAUACAUUUAAUUGUGCAUUUUUUCAGUGGGAGGUAUAUCUAAAAAUGUUUUAAAACUGUAGAUCUCCCUUUCCUCCCCAGCUCAGUGGCUGUCCAAUCACAGACUCCCCAUAGCAGCUCAAUGAGAAGUCUUUGCAAGCAUUUCUGGGCAAUUGCUGCCUCUUGAGUUAAGUUCCACUGAGCUAACCAAACCAGGAAUAACAGGAAUGCUUGUAUGAUUGACAGCCAGGGGGGUGUAACCAGGUUCAUUUAUAAAAGUGUCAAUUUCUAUUGAAAUCUGCACUUUUUGUAAAAUGAAAAAGUGGACACACUCUUCACACGUAAAGCACUUCAGGAAGCUAAAGCGAUUUAGGUGUCUGGGAGAGUUCCUUUUACAUGUAUUAUUUCUCAAACCUAGUGGAAUCUCUUCUGUUGUGUGGACACACUGUAUUGCAUGUAGAAUCGAUUACUGAAGGAAGGAGACCACUGGGAAAAGAAGCAGUGAUUAAAUAAGAAAAAAUAACCUAAGCAUGAGGUCAUAGACAUGGGCAAUGUCCAAGGGAUGUGAUUGAUGUACCCAGACAUACCUGUAGCAGAGGAUGUAGAUAAAAGUAACUGGGUAUUUGUUACAAUUUAAACAAUAACUCCCACAACCCAUGGCCAACAUUCAAGCAAUAUGAUGUCUGAAAAAGGUUAGAGACCGGAACAGAUAGCAAGCAGAGGAAUUGUUAGUAGGAUGCGGGCUGAGAUUUAGGGGAAUUAUGCAAAACUGAAAAUGGUUUGACUAAUUAGGCCAUAAUAACAAGAAUGGGGGAAAAAGAUCUUCAAAUAAAUUUUUCCAAUUAAGAAACAUUUUCCUAUAACUGGCAAUACCUUUGCCAGCUCUCCCCAGUUCCCAUUUUAUUGAAGAACCCUAGCGAGUCACUUUUAUUAAAUCAUCAGCUGUGUUGAGUCCUGUUUCGUUUAUGAAACAUUUAUUGCAACAUUUCCAAGUUAUUAAAAAACAUCCAGAUAAGAUUAGUUGGAUUUUUUUAAAAAAAUCUGUUCACCUACAUUUAACAACUUUGUUGCCAACUGUACACAACUCAUAGGUUUUAGUGAAUAAGCACAAUUUUUUUAAUAUAAAUCCUACUAGUUCACUUGCUGGCAUAAGUGUUUAAACCAUUUUUAAUAAGGAAAAUGGAGAAUCCAACUGUAUUAAAGGGUCACUUGUGGGCAAAACGCUAAGCCUCAAAUUAUUUAAUAUAUAUUAUAUUUAAUUUAACUACCAUUUAAACAGGUAAUCUGCUGGUACAGUUGUAGUUAAUCUGCCUUAAAUCCGGAGAAAUCACACACUCCAAUUAAAAAUGGUAUCAUUCGAAUCACAACAAUAUUUCAUUAUUAUCAUGAUUAAUGCUGACUUUAGACACAAAUACUUUCUAAGUAAUUAGUCAUUACAUUUCUUGGCUGAAAUGCUUUGUCUGUUCAAACCUCGGUAAUGCAGGUUUGAUUCCCAGCAGCAUAAAGCAAAUAGGUUAGGUUAUAGCAACAUUUUUGUAUUGACUCUAAGUUCAGUCCAGUGAGUGUGUGCACUAGAAGUGCUUUGAACCCAACAAUUAAAACAAUUGCUGUAUAAAUUAUUGUAUUAUUAUUAUUAACUAGUAAAUUCUUAUGAUGCCAGUAUACUUAAUUUACGAAUGCUACACCUAAUGUUUCUGACAUUUUAUAUUUUUCUAAGGACCCUCGAAACGAGGGUUAUAUUGAGAAAUAUAAAUGAUAAGGGUGAUAUUUCCUAUGCAGAUGAUUUCAUUUUUUUAUUUUUGAAAAGCGCAAUAACCUCCCGAUCAGGACACAGAGAAGAAAUCAAUAUAUUUCUUCCAUAUUUGGGGACAAGCGGACAUUGUAUUUAUAAAGCAUGCAACUAUCCUGUCUCAGAUAUUAAUGAUGGCUGCUUUUAACUCAGCCUAUGUAUGUUAACGCUGAGAGUAACAAUUAGCAAUAUCCCAGGGCUGGAAAUAACAAAUCCAAUCACCGGUUUUCCAGCUGGCUUCCAUUCUACCACAUCUGAAUGCCUCGGUUGUCAGGAGGGAACUUUUGAUUCUCGCAGCAUGACAGAUACAGAUUGAAAUUUGUAUUAACCUCUUCCUUUUAAAUGACUUUAUUUGAAGGAAUGUUUUAUCACAUCUUACUUUACGUUGUUUUGUUGAUUGAAUGCCUGUUUCAUCUUAAAUACGAAGGUAAUCUAGCACUGAAUUAAAAAACUCACUUAGAAUCGCAUGAACUAUGUAAAUAAAAUUAACCCAAUGUAUUUAAACGUGUCUAGUUUGUUAAGAUUACAAUAGCUGCUUUGCAUUUCAGAUAUGUAUAUUUUGUACAAAAACAACAAUAAAACCAAUAUUGCUAUGCACAAGAAA
Molecule: long non-coding RNA, 2800 nt
Organism: Pelobates fuscus (common spadefoot toad)
Lineage: Eukaryota; Metazoa; Chordata; Amphibia; Anura; Pelobatidae
Exons: 2
Source: RefSeq, a predicted model, not a curated record